This 253-nucleotide ribosomal RNA is filed under the name uncultured bacterium. RNAcentral's name for it is "partial 16S ribosomal RNA". It matches the Rfam family "Bacterial small subunit ribosomal RNA", at positions 524 to 776 of the family's 1533-position model. The record is from RNAcentral.
UACGGAGGGUGCGAGCGUUGUUCGGAUUUACUGGGCGUAAAGGGUGCGUAGGCGGAUACUAAGGUCAGAUGUGAAAUCCCGGGGCUCAACCCCGGAACUGCAUUUGAAACCGAGUGUCUAGAGUAUGACAGAGGAUGAUGGAAUUUCUAGUGUAGCAGUGAAAUGCGUAGAUAUUAGAAGGAACACCAGAGGCGAAGGCGAUCAUCUGGGUCAUAACUGACGCUGAGGCACGAAAGUGUGGGUAGCAAACGGG